Long non-coding RNA from Equus quagga, 730 nucleotides. RefSeq lists it as uncharacterized. NCBI's taxonomy places the organism in Eukaryota, Metazoa, Chordata, Mammalia, Perissodactyla, Equidae. The record is from RefSeq and is a predicted model, not a curated record. The transcript has 3 exons.
UCACACAGCCUUGCCUAAGUAGAGUGAACACAGAGCUAGCCCUCACAAGAUGCAGGAAGCAAGAGAGUGACAUGCAGGGGCCGGAGGAGCCCUGCCAUCACCUGCCCUGGGACUGCCAGCCAGCCCGCACCCAAGGAGCCAGGCGGUGCUGAGGUGAGAGACACAGAGAAAACCAACUGCGUGGUGGCACUUUCAGCUCCCAAACCUGGUGCUGCAUGUCCCAGAACCACCUGGGAGCUUUUUAAAAGCCGAUCUGCUGUGCCCUGGCCCAGAUCCACCAAGUGCAUCAGAAUCUCAGAGGAUGAGCCCAAGUCUGUGCUCCUCGGGCUCACAUGUGAGUGGACAGCCCGAAGCCAGAAUCUCCCCUGAGGAAGCGACGUGAGUUUGACUUCUCCUCUGUUGUGAGUUAGGAGAUGAAAGGCAAGUGCAAAAAAUUAUUCAAUUCAAGACAUGCCAGCUGCCUCUCUAUCUUGGAGAGGGGGGCAAAGGUGAGUAAGCCACGUGCUUAAUCUCGGGAGCUGAGCAUGUACGCGGCUGAGCAGGAAGAGGAUGCUGGUGGAAGCAGCAGUUCCUGGGUGGAAGCCAUCUUUGUUGGGACUGUGCUCUGGGAGGAGUACGCUCAAUCAGAACCUGAAAAGUAAGGUUCCUUAGACUGUGCCUGCAGGCCCUGCACCCAAGCAUAUUCCAGCACUAUUCACAAUAGCCAAGACAUGGAAACAAUCCAGGUGCC